RNAcentral lists this ribosomal RNA (468 nucleotides) under uncultured bacterium. RNAcentral describes it as "partial 16S ribosomal RNA". It matches the Rfam family "Bacterial small subunit ribosomal RNA", at positions 28 to 507 of the family's 1533-position model. The record is from RNAcentral.
GACGAACGCUGGCGGCGUGCUUAACACAUGCAAGUCGAACGGAAAGGCCCUGCUUUUGUGUGGUUCUCGAGUGGCGAACGGGUGAGUAACAAGUGAGUAACCUGCCCUUGACUUUGGGAUAACUUCAGGAAACUGGGGCUAAUACCGGAUAGGAGCUCCUGCUGCAUGGUGGGGGUUGGAAAGUUUCGGCGGUUGGGGAUGGACUCGCGGCUUAUCAGCUUGUUGGUGGGGUAGUGGCUUACCAAGGCUUUGACGGGUAGCCGGCCUGAGAGGGUGACCGGCCACAUUGGGACUGAGAUACGGACCAGACUCCUACGGGAGGCAGCAGUGGGGAAUAUUGCACAAUGGGCGGAAGCCUGAUGCAGCAACGCCGCGUGCGGGAUGACGGCCUUCGGGUUGUAAACCGCUUUCGCCUGUGACGAAGCGUGAGUGACGGUAAUGGGUAAAGAAGCACCGGCUAACUACGUG